AUUGAACGCUGGCGGCAGGCCUAACACAUGCAAGUCGAGCGGAUGAAGGGAGCUUGCUCCUGGAUUCAGCGGCGGACGGGUGAGUAAUGCCUAGGAAUCUGCCUGGUGGUGGGGGAUAACGUCCGGAAACGGGCGCUAAUACCGCAUACGUCCUGAGGGAGAAAGUGGGGGAUCUUCGGACCUCACGCUAUCAGAUGAGCCUAGGUCGGAUUAGCUAGUUGGUGGGGUAAAGGCCUACCAAGGCGACGAUCCGUAACUGGUCUGAGAGGAUGAUCAGUCACACUGGAACUGAGACACGGUCCAGACUCCUACGGGAGGCAGCAGUGGGGAAUAUUGGACAAUGGGCGAAAGCCUGAUCCAGCCAUGCCGCGUGUGUGAAGAAGGUCUUCGGAUUGUAAAGCACUUUAAGUUGGGAGGAAGGGCAGUAAGUUAAUACCUUGCUGUUUCGACGUUACCAACAGAAUAAGCACCGGCUAACUUCGUG
This 484-nucleotide ribosomal RNA is filed under the name uncultured bacterium. Its description in RNAcentral is "partial 16S ribosomal RNA". It matches the Rfam family "Bacterial small subunit ribosomal RNA", at positions 30 to 507 of the family's 1533-position model. The record is from RNAcentral.